GAUGAACGCUGGCGGCGUGCUUAACACAUGCAAGUCGAACGGAAAGGCCCAAGCUUGCUUGGGUACUCGAGUGGCGAACGGGUGAGUAACACGUGGGUGAUCUGCCCUGCACUUCGGGAUAAGCCUGGGAAACUGGGUCUAAUACCGGAUAGGACGAUGGUUUGGAUGCCAUUGUGGAAAGUUUUUUCGGUGUGGGAUGAGCUCGCGGCCUAUCCGCUUGUUGGUGGGGUAAGGGCCUACCAAGGCGUCGACGGGUAGCCGGCCUGAGAGGGUGUACGGCGACAUUGGGGCUGAGGUACGGCCCAGACUCCUACGGGAGGCAGCAGUGGGGAAGAUUGCACAAUAGGCGCAAGCCUGAUGCAGCGAGGCCGCGUGGGGGAUGACGGCCUUCGGGUUGUAAACUCCUUUCGCUAGGGACGAAGCGUUUUUGUGACGGUACCUGGAGAAGAAGCACCGGCUAACUACGUG
This 468-nucleotide ribosomal RNA is filed under the name uncultured bacterium. Its description in RNAcentral is "partial 16S ribosomal RNA". It matches the Rfam family "Bacterial small subunit ribosomal RNA", at positions 28 to 507 of the family's 1533-position model. The record is from RNAcentral.